This 497-nucleotide ribosomal RNA is filed under the name uncultured bacterium. RNAcentral's name for it is "partial 16S ribosomal RNA". It matches the Rfam family "Bacterial small subunit ribosomal RNA", at positions 28 to 507 of the family's 1533-position model. The record is from RNAcentral.
GAUGAACGCUGGCGGCGUGCCUAAUACAUGCAAGUCGAGCGAACAGACGAGGAGCUUGCUCCUCUGACGUUAGCGGCGGACGGGUGAGUAACACGUGGAUAACCUACCUAUAAGACUGGGAUAACUUCGGGAAACCGGAGCUAAUACCGGAUAAUAUAUUGAACCGCAUGGUUCAAUAGUGAAAGACGGUUUUGCUGUCACUUAUAGAUGGAUCCGCGCCGCAUUAGCUAGUUGGUAAGGUAACGGCUUACCAAGGCAACGAUGCGUAGCCGACCUGAGAGGGUGAUCGGCCACACUGGAACUGAGAUACGGUCCAGACUCCGACGGGAGGCAGCAGUAGGGAAUCUUCCGCAAAGGGCGAAAGCCUGACGGAGCAACGCCGCGUGAGUGAUGAAGAUCUUCGGAUCGUAAAACUCUGUUAUUAGGGAAGAACAAAUGUGUAAGUAACUAUGCACGUCUUGACGGUACCUAAUCAGAAAGCCACGGCUAACUACGUG